GGGGGAGGGGCACAGUGGCUUAGUGGUUGCCUCACACCUCCGGGGUUGGGGGUUCGAUUCCCACCUCUGCCC
Molecule: non-coding RNA, 72 nt
Organism: Pangasianodon gigas (Mekong giant catfish)
Lineage: Eukaryota; Metazoa; Chordata; Actinopteri; Siluriformes; Pangasiidae
Source: the annotation of a GenBank genome assembly